AAUGAACGCUGGCGGCGCGCCUAAUACAUGCAAGUCGAGCGAGAAGACGUAGCAAUACGUUUGUAAAGCGGCGAACGGGUGAGGAAUACAUGGGUAACCUACCCUAGAGUGGGGAAUAACUAGCCGAAAGGUUAGCUAAUACCGCGUACGCUCCUUGGACUUCGGUUCAGGGAGGAAAGCGAUGCCGAGGGUAUCGCGCUCUUGGAUGGGCUCAUGUCCUAUCAGCUUGNGGUGAGGUAACGGCUCACCAAGGCUUCGACGGGUAGCUGGUCUGAGAGGACGAUCAGCCACACUGGCACUGCGACACGGGCCAGACUCCUACGGGAGGCAGCAGUAAGGAAUAUUGCGCAAUGGGCGAAAGCCUGACGCAGCGACGCCGCG
RNAcentral lists this ribosomal RNA (381 nucleotides) under uncultured bacterium. RNAcentral describes it as "bacterial SSU rRNA". It matches the Rfam family "Bacterial small subunit ribosomal RNA", at positions 29 to 401 of the family's 1533-position model. The record is from RNAcentral.